This 216-nucleotide ribosomal RNA is filed under the name Glomeromycotina sp. RNAcentral's name for it is "partial small subunit ribosomal RNA". The stretch from base 40 to 216 matches the Rfam family "Eukaryotic small subunit ribosomal RNA", at positions 686 to 864 of the family's 1831-position model. The record is from RNAcentral. Lineage: Eukaryota; Fungi; Glomeromycota.
GGGUCAGUAGGUUGGUCGUGCCACCGGUACGUACUGGUCUCACUGAUUCCUCCUUCCUGAAGAACCGUAAUGCCAUUAAUUUGGUGUUGCGGGGAAACAGGACUGUUACUUUGAAAAAAUUAGAGUGUUUGAAGCAAGCUAACGCUUGAAUACAUUAGCAUGGAAUAAUGAAAUAGGACGAUCGAUCCUAUUUUGUUGGUUUCCAGGAUUGACGUA